CUGCAGCCAAUUAAGCUAACUGGAUUCCUUUCCUCAUGGGGGCCCAGUGUGCAAUGGCUGCAAACAGCAGCUUCCUUGGUAAUGUAUGCAGCCUGUUUCUGGUAUGGGUUGCUCUAAGGGACCUUGGAGACAGGC
Molecule: small nucleolar RNA, 135 nt
Organism: Callithrix jacchus (white-tufted-ear marmoset)
Lineage: Eukaryota; Metazoa; Chordata; Mammalia; Primates; Cebidae
Gene: SNORA70
Rfam family: Small nucleolar RNA SNORA70
About the family: snoRNA U70 seems to be exclusive to mammals and is a member of the H/ACA class of snoRNA which contain H (ANANNA) and ACA box motifs.
Source: Ensembl